This 391-nucleotide long non-coding RNA is filed under the name Malus domestica (apple). RNAcentral's name for it is "long non-coding RNA (MDOM_LNC009439)". Lineage: Eukaryota; Viridiplantae; Streptophyta; Magnoliopsida; Rosales; Rosaceae. The record is from RNAcentral.
GUUGAUCUCUUCUUCUAUAGAGACCCUGAGGAGGCCAAGGAAAAGGAAGAUGAAGAUCUUCCUCAAAUCCCAGAUUAUGGAACUGCAGAUUAUGCUGCACCUGGUAUCAUCGGGGCUGAUCAAUGGCCUACCCAAGUUUCUGAUGCUCCAUGGCCAACAGAUACCCCUACAACUAUCCCGGCAGUUCCUGUUGUUGGCUGGACCGCAGAACCAGGUUUCACUUGUUAACCAUUUAACCGUUGUAAAUUGUGUUAGAAUCAUCACAUUUUUGUUGUAUUACCUUGUUCGAUUCUGCAGGCUGUGAGAAACAUUUGAGCUUAAUCACAUUUUAUGUUAUCAAGUAUGCAUCUGUUUUUGGUCAGUUGUACCUUUUCUGACACAUGUUUGUUUC